UACGUAGGGUGCGAGCGUUAUCCGGAAUUAUUGGGCGUAAAGAGCUCGUAGGCGGUUCGUCGCGUCUGCUGUGAAAACUGGGGGCUCAACCCCCAGCCUGCAGUGGGUACGGGCAGACUAGAGUGCGGUAGGGGAGAUUGGAAUUCCUGGUGUAGCGGUGGAAUGCGCAGAUAUCAGGAGGAACACCAAUGGCGAAGGCAGAUCUCUGGGCCGUUACUGACGCUGAGGAGCGAAAGCAUGGGGAGCGAACAGG
This 253-nucleotide ribosomal RNA is filed under the name uncultured bacterium. Its description in RNAcentral is "partial 16S ribosomal RNA". It matches the Rfam family "Bacterial small subunit ribosomal RNA", at positions 524 to 776 of the family's 1533-position model. The record is from RNAcentral.